This 339-nucleotide unclassified non-coding RNA is filed under the name Crepidotus crocophyllus. RNAcentral describes it as "partial internal transcribed spacer region". The stretch from base 1 to 46 matches the Rfam family "Eukaryotic small subunit ribosomal RNA", at positions 1786 to 1831 of the family's 1831-position model. The record is from RNAcentral. Lineage: Eukaryota; Fungi; Basidiomycota; Agaricomycetes; Agaricales; Crepidotaceae.
AAGUCGUAACAAGGUUUCCGUAGGUGAACCUGCGGAAGGAUCAUUAAUGGAAUAAACCUGGUGGACUGUCGCUGGCUCUCUUGAGAGCAUGUGCACGUCUGUCAUCUUUAUCUUUCCACCUGUGCACCUUUUGUAGACCUGGAUGCUUAAUAUAUCAAUCUGAGGUCAACUCAGGCGUGAGGACUGUCGGCGUCGCAAGAUAUCGGCUUUCCUUGUAGCAUUCCAGGGACUAUGUUUUUCAUACACACUUUAAAAAUCUAAUAGAAUGUCGUUUUAAAAAGGUCUUUGUACCUAUAUAAAACAAAUAUACAACUUUCAGCAACGGAUCUCUUGGCUCCC